This 5366-nucleotide long non-coding RNA is filed under the name Homo sapiens (human). Its description in RNAcentral is "HSALNT0066906". The record is from RNAcentral. Lineage: Eukaryota; Metazoa; Chordata; Mammalia; Primates; Hominidae.
CUUUACAACUCUCUGUGCUUCCAAAAUGUGGCCUUACCAGUUACAAAGACAUGACUAUCAAAAGCAAGCAGGUCUUUCCAGCCAUCUGCUCGGCAGGAAGGAGGACGGCUUGAUUAAGAUUGCACAUCCACUUCAGCUGGUGGCUUAAUCAGCCCCAAACCUAAAAGAGCUUUCACAGCUCCUUCUGCUCUUCCCCAAACCCCUCCUGUGGGGUCACCUGGUGAUGGUCUGGCUGGGCUCAGCUUGUGGACUAGGAUAUCACAGGACACAUGGAGUAACCACGAUUCAAUUGGGUUCUGGAGAUGGGUACCAGUCCUGCCAUCAGUCAGAGAUCUGUGCCUUAGGCCCGUCAGUCAAAUUCUUUCUUCUGAGGAGGCAAGAAUUGAGGUUGCUGCAGACCCACACGGAUUCACCGCUGGUAACUCAGAUACCUUCCAACCUUCCACUGGACUGCGCCAGCCCAGACAAGUCCAAGAGGAGGAUUCCAGGCAGUUAAGAUGGUUUCCGGAGAAGCCUGGAAUUUCCCCGUAAGCACAAGCUCGGCAGAAAAAGGCAGGGUCCCUCGGCAGCCAGGGCAGGGGCUGAGUCAGUCCCAAGUCUCCCUGGCAAAUGGAUCACCCCUUAGGGUGGGAAGAGCCCCCCAGCUGUGUGGGGAACCUGGCUAGAGGUUGCUGAACCUCUGCUUUCAAGGAGUCUUGUGACCCCGGGAGCAUAGAACAAUCGCGGAGGCGCUUACAUCCAAAAUCCAUUUUCCUUCAAAAAAGUGUCCAGGUGGAGGUAAAGAAAGAGGACCCUGUAUACUUUGGUAAAUCUGUGAUUUAGCUACAAUGUAACUGGGCCUUGGGAACCCAGGGUGAGGUUUCUUAUGUGACAUCUCCUGGAAAAGCUCCGCUCAAUUCCUGAAAAAUCCCUUAUCAGACACCGACAGGAAACAGGGAUUUCCAGGGAAAUGGAUGUGGAAGGCACCUGAAGGCCAUUCCAAAACUCCAAAGUUUUUAUUUAUUUUACUAACUUAGGUGACUUAGACAUACAACUUCCUGCAAACAGUGCAUUCAGCUUUGUGUUCCUAAGCAAAUAAAUGGAACAGAGGCCACCAAAACUAGGCCCGCUGGAAAGGGCAGAGCAGAUGCCCUUACACCCAUAGCCCCUGGGGGUCAUGCCUGUGAGUUCUUGCAUAUCAGCUUGUGACAGCGUUGUGACCUGCCCCUUUGUCACCUUGCCACCACAUCACCCCCCAGGGGUCUGGGCAUUUCCUCGAAGCUGCUUCCAGGACAGGAUCAGGAACGUGUUACUUGGGUGGGGGGCUGGGAGGGAGGCAAGGAGCUCUGGUUCUGCCCAUGUCCUCCAGCCUCGAGUGUGCAACUGCUCUUCUGGGAACUUGGGUCUCCUCAUCUGAAACACAGGGAAUUAGAGAAGAUGAUUUUGUAACGCUCGAAGGCUCUGUAAUCCCCAAAAACAUGCUCUAAAGGGAUCUCCAGUCCAGCAUAUCAACCCAAACAAAAGACAACGCUGUGGUUACUUGUUCAAAUGCCUCUUUCUUCUUGUAAACAGUGCACUCCCAAUGACAGAGGCCCUCUGCUACUCAUCAUCUAGGUAGCUGACAGGUGGCUGCCUGCGGUACCUGAUGUUUGGACAGACAAACAAAUGACCAGGUGACACCCAAGUGCGAUUCUCUCUGAUCGCCAUCCUGUAGCCUGUCUCCUUAGCUGGGCUCCAAGCUCUUUGGGGAGCGAGGAACAGAUCUGUUCUACAUAGAAUCUCCAAUCAGAGCUGACGGUGGCUCAGGAAGCACCAGGGUGCCCAGGCUAGUUGUUGAAAUAUUGAAGUACUUCUGUGCAGUUGCUGAGCCUGAGAGAGCCUCUCUCCCCUCCCCCGCCACCAAGCCCAACAUCUAUCCGAAGGUUUCCUCUCCACCAUCCAGCCACUGAAGGGUGGUGACUGAUGUAGCAGGGCUGUAGGCCUCUGCUCCAGGACUGUAUAUGCCUGGUGCCAUUCUGAUUGGCCAGCGCCCUUGCCAUACUGUCGUUAAAUGUUGAGUGGUAGACCAGCCCAAUGCAGGUGAUGGGGAGGGAGAGCAGAUGACUGGUAGGUGCCACCUGUCACCUGAGAAUAGAUAUAUGUAGGCCCUGCUUUCCCAAUGGACUGAGAAUGUUCCCAGCAAAGAAGUGGGCAGUGUGUGCUGCCUGACCCCAAGAAGACACAUGCCCAGAUCCCUAGCUGGACAGAACGAGGACCUCCAAGCACACCUGCAGGCAAAGGAAUGGGCUGAGUCUCAGCCCCCCGGACUUACGAGCCAGGCGGCCCCACCUGUCUAAACUUGCGUUUCCUCUUCUGUACACAGGAGACAGUUAAACCUACCUUCCAGUUUGCGUGAGGACUUGUGUCUAACACGGGCUCUGAUCUGUACCCACAGGUGGAGAGCGUGGAGGCGCAAAGGUUCUACUGGCUCUUCCCAGGCGCCCCCACACAAACUGGACUCCAAUCCAGGAGGAAGCACGGAGGCGGCCUAACCUGGGCCCUCCUCCAUCCACGGAGCUGAGGGCCCAGAGAGGGAGGGCAACUCGCCCUCCACCACACCCCGCACAGCAGCUCCCUCCUUCCCCAGGGCCCAGCCCUGACACCUCCUGUCCCUGCCGGAGCCCUGCACCUGAGGACCCAGAGCCACGCGGGACCUUCUUUCACAGCCAGGAGGCGUCGGGGAGCUUCCCAGGCUGACUCUGCUUCCCGUGCUUUCCCCACCGCCCCCGCCAGAAACUGGGGCCCAAAUGGCAGCAUCCCCACCCCACGGCGCCCCAGCGCUGCAAAGCGCAGCCCUUCCGUAAACGGCCUGGGGAAAUGAAGUUGGUGGACUCUGCCUGUCCUCGUCCGGUGUCACCUCCUGCCGGCCUCCUCAUUCUGCCAGGGCUUCUGGCUCCUCACCCGGGCACAGAGGCCCCUUCAGCAGCAGGGAUGGGGGCAUUCGGAGAAGGACUGGGGCCGGCUGAUCCUGGCCUGACAGAGGCCUCCUCACCCACUGGCACCAGCCCUGCCCUGAAGACGUGGUCGUAGCAUCGAUGCAAUCGGGGGGGAGCGUGGUGGGUGGGGCACAGCCUGAAGGAGGAGGUCGAGCAAACACGUGGCCUCAGCUGGGACGCAGCACUGUCUGCAGAGCCCCUCGAAUCCAGCUCCACAUCUGGUUCUCGGGGGCGCAGGGCUGCCCGUGCAGGAUUAUCGACCCUGUUUUCAGGGAACAGGAAACUGAGGCCAAGCGAGGGGUCCUGAGCCGCCCAAGGUCAGAGAGGUGGUGAGGGGGAGAGAUGCAACAGGGGGGUCCCCAGAGUAAGGGCGGGCAGGGCGGAUGCCUGUGCUGAGAUGUGGCGCCGAGGCCUUACGAGCACCCACUGAAGGUCUGUUCAGUCACCCCAAGAAUGUCUGGAGCCCGAGUAUCAUCUGGCAGCCACCCUGGAGAAGGAACCAAGAACGCGGGGGGAGUCGGAAAGGGGGGCCCACCGAGGGGAGAAAGGGGUCGGCGCCGCUGUUCGGGCUGGUUGCUUUCUGGGCUCCUGAGCCCGGUGCUGUCCCACCCUCCGGGAAAGUCUAAAGCAAGAGGUGCCACCGCCCUCCGUGUCCUGCAGGCUGAGGAGCAGUGACGCUAUUCAGCAAGAUGAGAAACACGGGCAGGAGGUAAGAACUGAGAUCUCCUUCCUGUCGGCAUCUGACGGGAGGAGGCAUGUGAAUCCCAGGAGAAAACAAAACCUAGAAAGCGGCUGAGCCAGGAGACCCCUGGGCGGUGGGCUUAGCAAGGGGCAGGGGUUACCCACAGUCCUCCCUAGCACCUCGUCCCCAUCCUCUGCCUUCACACCUGGGACUCUCUUCCAUGCUGGGGGAAACCUUCAGAUGAAUUGAUUCUCGCUGAGGUUGUGCAGACCGAUAUUAAGCCGAGCACAUAGAUACUCAGAAUAAAGACUGCAUUUCCCAGCAUCUCUUGCAGCAGAUAUGGCCACAUGUCUAGGAUCUAGUCAACAGGUAAAUGCAACAUUAGGGACUUUUCUUACAGGAAGUGGUCAUACCCUUUCCUUCCUUCCUGGUGGCUGGAAUACAGGCGUAAUGGCUGGAACUGAAACAGCCAUUUUUGAUCAUGAAGUAAUCUUGGGAAUUAAGCCAAGUUUAGAGAAGAAACAAGACAGAAGCAUACUGUGUGUCCCUGACCCCACGGAGCUGCCACACUGGCCUAGCCCACCGACAUUUUGAAAGUUUUAUGGAAAAAAAAUAGCUUUAUAGUUUAAGUUGUUUGUUAUUUGGGACAAAGUCAAUAUGAAAUAACACACCUUUUUUUUGUUGUUUGAAGUAAACUUUUGUUAGUUUUUUAAAUAAUUUUUAUUUGUAUUUCAAUAGUUUGGGGGGGUAAAGGUGGUUUUGGGUUACAUGGGUAAGUUCUUUAGUGGUGAUUUCUGAGAUUCUGGUGCACCCAUCACCCAAGCAGUGUACACUGUACCCAAUAUAUAGUCUUUUAUCCCUCAUCCCCUCUCAACCUUCCCCUACCCCAGCCCCAGAGUCGAUUUUAUCAUUCUUAUGCCUUUGCAUCCUCACUGCUUAGCUCCCGCUUAUAAGUGAGAACAUAUGAUGUUUGGUUUUCCUGAAUCACUUCACUUAGAAUAAUGGUCUUCAACUCCAUCCAGGCUGCUGUGAAUGCCAUUAUUUCAUUCCUUUUUAUGGCUGUGUAGUAUUCCAUGGUGUAUAAAUACCUUAUCCACUCAUUGGUUGAUGGGCACUUAGGUUGGUUCCAUAUCUUUGCAGUUGUGAAUUGUGCUGCUCCAAAUGUGUGUGCAUGUGUCUUUUUCAUAUAAUGACUUCUUUUCCUCUGGAUAGAUACCCAGUAGUGGGAUUGCUGGAUUUAAUGAUCGUUCUACUUUUAGUUCUUUAAGUAAUCUCCAUCUGUUUUCCAUAGUGGUUGUACUAGUUUACUUUCCCACCAGCUGUGUGAAAGUGCUCCCUUUUCACCGCAUCCAUGCCAACAUCUGUUGUUUUUUGAUUUUUAAUUAUGGCCAUUCUUGCAGGAGUAAGGUGAUAUCUCAAAGUGGUUGAAAUUUGCAUUUCCCUGAUGAUGAUUAGUGAUGUUGAGCAUUUUUUCAUAUGAUGGAGGCUGUUUGUAUAUCUUCUUUUGAGAAUCGUCUAUUCAUGUCCUUUGUCCCCUUUUGCAUGGGAUUGUUUGUUUGUUUUUUUCUCGCCGAUUUGUUUGAGUUCCUUGUAGAUCCUGGAUAUUACCUUUGUCGGAUGCAUAGUUUGCAAGCAUUUUCUCCUCCUCUGGGGUUGUCUGUUUACUGUGCUGAUUAUUUAUCUUGCUGUGCAGAAGCUUUUUAGUUUAAUUAGAUCCCAUUUAUUUAUUU